Molecule: long non-coding RNA, 313 nt
Organism: Lycium barbarum (goji berry)
Lineage: Eukaryota; Viridiplantae; Streptophyta; Magnoliopsida; Solanales; Solanaceae
Exons: 3
Source: RefSeq, a predicted model, not a curated record
UGAAACUAAAGAUCCACUUCAUCAAUCCACAAAACUAAGUGUGAGAAACACAUCAAAUCCAUUCAAGUCAAGAAAUUCCAUGGAAGGUGGAACUAGGAUUUUGUUCAAGUGAAGCAUUUCAACUCAAGGCUUAUUCCUACAAUAACCAAGAUUAAAGUUGAAGGGAUUGAAGGACAUUGUGAUACGCUCAAAAGCAGGAAGUUAAGGUACUGAUAUACAGGACGACACAUCUGCUCAGUAGGACAACAUUCGUAUCAGCUUAUUGGUGAGCCUCAUCUCACUCGGGGUUUAGUCAACUUUUGUUUUAUGAUUA